AGCACCCAGCUAGAAGUUUGGUGGCUCAGAAGUUCUGUCUCGUAGAGCUUAUAUUCAUUCCGUCCCACAUAAACUUUACCCCUGCCAUAGCCAGACGCUGCUGUGGAUACCAGGACUAGAAAGAGUCCAAGGACAAAAUUAAAACAACUUAGAGUCAGGAUCUUAAUUGGCUUUAUUUUCAACUCUGGAAUUAGGCGACCCUUCAUGCUAUAAAAUAGAAGCGUUCCAGCGAGCUGAGCAGCAAAGAUUUGUUUUAGAGAUAGAAAAAGGGCUGAAGAAAGCAGAAACAAAAUUGUUUCAAAGUUACUUUCCUUGUAAGGCUUGGAUAGAGGCAGAACAAUAGAAAAAUAUAGUAACUGAUUAACAUCAGGUUACUUUUUUGAAUCAUCCGCAUUGAAACUGGCCUGUUUGAGAAAUUUGGUUGUUCCUCUCUAAUCCUGAUUGUUCAUAAAGUCAGAUAAACGGCUUAGUUUAAGCUUGGUGGAGUGGAACUUUACCAUGAGUGACUUCGUUUUUAUUUUUAGCCUGAUCUGUUGGAAUGUAAGUGCAGGAGCCUAGUAUAAAACAUCGGCCUCUUAUAUUUUUUAUUUAAUAAGAGGUACCCCUUGCCCUGGGGAAGCAGACAAUCGAACAAAUGAGUAAGUUAAUUGUAGAAAAAAAUGAUGUGGCUGAAACAAUCAGGGGCUUAGAUAAUGGACAGGAGAGAUGGAAACGUCACCUGUAGAUAAAGUCAUGGAAAGCAUGAUCGAAGCCAAAGAACAGCGAUUACAAAAGCUCGGAGAGGGAAAAGAAUAUGGGUCUCACUAUGUAGUUCAGACUGGCCUUCAACUUGGGAUGAUCCUCCUGCCUCCUGAGUGCUGGGAUUGCAGGCAGGAUCUCACUAUGUCACUAACUUGCCCAGACUGGGCUCAAACGCAGAGAAGUCUGAUAAUGUGAGAAAUCACGCCAUGAGGAGUCCUGGAUAGCCAGGGGAAAGACCAUGUGAAGAGAGUCUGUGGCCCAGCCUCCCCGCCGAGGACUUGUGUGCAGAAGCCAGCUUGGGUGGCUGUGCUCAGUCAGGACUUCCACAGACUGCACCCCCAGCGCCUCUGAUUGCAACUGCGUGAGCGCCGGUACAUGGGAACCAUUCAGCAAAGCCCCACUCAUCUUCACAGCUCUGAGAAAUAAUCAUAAACUGUGUUAAGUCGUUAAAUUCUGAAGUUAUUUGUUGCUGUGGUUGGGAUACAUGUUCCCCAGAGGUCAUGGGUUACAGGUCUAUCCCCAGCUUGGAACUACUGGGAGGCAGUGGAAACUGUAAGACCCAGGGCCUGGUGGGAGGUCAUUAGUCUUGUGGCUGUGGCCUUCAAGGGAAUUCAACGACAGUCCCUUCUUCUUCCUCCCUUUCACUUCCUGUCCAGUGCCACACACUCCCCACCACUGCCAUCUGCCAGCAGAGGCCUAAAAGUAACAGAUCCGCCUGAUUAUGGACUGGGACCAGAAUAAACAGC
RNAcentral lists this long non-coding RNA (1487 nucleotides) under Heterocephalus glaber (naked mole-rat). RNAcentral's name for it is "lncRNA (ENSHGLG00100039103.1)". The record is from RNAcentral. Lineage: Eukaryota; Metazoa; Chordata; Mammalia; Rodentia; Bathyergidae.